Drosophila rhopaloa is the source of this 590-nucleotide long non-coding RNA. RefSeq lists it as uncharacterized. The transcript has 2 exons. Lineage: Eukaryota; Metazoa; Arthropoda; Insecta; Diptera; Drosophilidae. The record is from RefSeq and is a predicted model, not a curated record.
GCCAGAAGCCAUUUAAAAAUUAAAAAAAACACUUUUGAUAAAAGCUAGGGUUUUUAGUAGCUAAAAUGAGUCGUUUCUUUCUUAAGUAAAAUAAAUGUGAAUAAGUGUUUAUUUCAUUUAAACAAAACUAAUAAAUAUUUGUUGUUCCCGAUUCUAUCCGCAACGGAAUCCAUUACGAAUUACAGUCAUAUACGUCUUCAUAAGAAUCAGUACCAAUUCGCGUUGACAUGAAGUUCUUUUUGGGAGUUGUGGCUCUUCUACUUUUAUCCCUUGUGGGAACUCAAGCUCGUCUUAGAGCGGACUACCCGUCGCCCGAAAAAACUGGAUAAAUGGCUAAAAAAUCAAAGCCAUUCAAAUUGGAAUAAGACUCAGCAUUUACCACCAAAUUGGAAAACAUUCGGAAAACAGUUUAUAAUAAGUCGAUACAUAUUCCACCAGUUCCUGUUUAUAAAAUUGGUUAAUACUUACUCUUUUCAAUUUGUUAAUGCUUUUUUAUCAAGUCAUAAACGGUUGGAAAGAACUCAAAAAUAUUCACGUAAAUUGUAAGAAAAUCUUGUUUGAAUGAAUUAAAUUAAUGACUUCCAACUCAA